Long non-coding RNA from Ictalurus punctatus (channel catfish), 1041 nucleotides. RefSeq lists it as uncharacterized. NCBI's taxonomy places the organism in Eukaryota, Metazoa, Chordata, Actinopteri, Siluriformes, Ictaluridae. The transcript has 5 exons. The record is from RefSeq and is a predicted model, not a curated record.
UGCAGGAUUGAUUACGGCAGUCUGUCUGUUCAUCUGUUGUCGUCUGUUCUCAAAACCAUCCGAGAGAGAAAACAUGCCGAUUCCCCCAGGGUUUACCCAAAAGAUAAAACGUUUGAAUGAGAAACACAUUAAACACUUUCUCAGCAUUACCUGUGACCCGGAAAGGUGAGUGAAAGGAAGAAGUGAAGGUGCUUUUCACUGUGAGACACAGCGACACUAAACUGAGUCGCUUAGCUGCUGGUUUUUCUGGCACUAUAGGAGUGGGAAGGUGUAUGUAGAAGUAUUGAAUUAUCUUCCUGGUGAUGAGCAGUAAUCAAACUGUCAGCCGCACCCAUCUUGAGAUUCUCACCUGUCAGUGAAAAUCCUGAUGAACAGAUCGGGCUUCUGCUAGAAGAGCGACAGCUCGAACUGAACACGGGUUAAAAUAUGAACAUGAGAUCUAACCACUGGAGGUCACUGUGGGUCUGAGGAACGUCUCGGCACAGCUCCAGGGUUCCUGGGUCCAUCAUGAGCUCAGUGUGUGACCUGGAAAUUAAUCAGAUGUCCUCCAUUGUUGAAGAUGCGUCAGUGGAGGAGGCUUCAUGGAGAGGAGGUACACCGUCGAUAUGUCAUGUUGCUUCAGUGGGCAGUGAUUAUUACUGAUGUUCCUGCAUUAUCGUGUUUCUGCAUUCCUUAUCGUAACACCCGAAAAGUGACUUAACACUCAGGACUUGUAUCACAAGCUCGAAGGACAGAAGAGUUUUAUUCAAUUCGAGAGCGAGAAUAAAGAGAGGGCUGGUGAAGGAGCGACUGUUUACAGCUCCUAUAACAUAAGCGACAACAGGAACAGACUUGUUUUUGCGGACAUUGUGAGACAUUACACGGUACUAUAAAAUGAACUGUAAAAGUACAAUGUGUCAUUCUUUAAUAUGUCAAAAAAUAUCGCUGUGGUGUAAGAUGAAUAAAACUCUUCAAGAUGUACUGUUACACAAUAAUAAACAACUUCAGGGUGGUAAACAAGUCAUCACUCAUUAUUUCAGUGUUUUAUUUCCUUGUAUACAA